This 502-nucleotide ribosomal RNA is filed under the name uncultured bacterium. RNAcentral describes it as "bacterial SSU rRNA". It matches the Rfam family "Bacterial small subunit ribosomal RNA", at positions 29 to 524 of the family's 1533-position model. The record is from RNAcentral.
AUUGAACGCUGGCGGCGUGCUUAACACAUGCAAGUCGAUCGGUAACAAGUGUAGCAAUACAUGCUGACGAGAGGCGGACGGGUGAGUAAUGCUUGGGAAUCUGCCUAUUAGUGGGGGACAACCCGGGGAAACUCGGGCUAAUACCGCAUACGCUCUACGGAGGAAAGCCGGGGACCGCAAGGCCUGGCGCUAAUAGAUGAGCCCAAGUCGGAUUAGCUAGUUGGUAGGGUAACGGCCUACCAAGGCGACAAUCCGUAGCUGGUCUGAGAGGACGACCAGCCACACCGGAGCUGAGACACGGUCCGGACUCCUACGGGAGGCAGCAGUGGGGAAUAUUGGACAAUGGGGCAACCCUGAUCCAGCGACGCCGCGUGGGUGAAGAAGGCCUGUGGGUUGUAAAGCCCUUUCGGUGGGGAAGAAAAGUCUCGACCUAAUACGUCGGGACCUUGACGUAGCCCACUAAAGAAGCACCGGCUAACUCUGUGCCAGCCGCCGCAGUAAU